This 2322-nucleotide long non-coding RNA is filed under the name Prunus persica (peach). RNAcentral describes it as "long non-coding RNA (PPER_LNC007909)". The record is from RNAcentral. Lineage: Eukaryota; Viridiplantae; Streptophyta; Magnoliopsida; Rosales; Rosaceae.
CCUUCUUCCUCUCUUUUAUUUAUUUAUUGUUUUCUUAUUUUUCUUCCUUUUCUUCCUCUUUUCUCGCACCAGACCCAACCUUCUUCCAAUUGUCUUCUCUUCGCUAUCUUCCCUUUCUCUAGCAGACUCAAAAUUGAGUGAGAGAGUGAGAUCAGGUGGAAAACAUCUGCCUCCAGCCGCCGAAAAAAGGGCCCAAGUCGAUUUCGACCCCGUCUUCGAAGAAGCCCAUCAACCAGUGCUAGAAGGGACCUCUUUGUGCGGGUUUUCCUCUAAAAUUCUCAAUUUUGCUCCCUUUCUUGGUGUAUUCAAAGUCACCCGUUGGGAUUUUAGCAAGGUAUGCCCUUUCUCUGGCUUUCUCUUGAAUUUAUCGAGGAAUUUGUUAGGUUCCUUUCAUCCAUGAAUGUUGCCCUUUGUUUUGGUAGUCAAGCAAAGUCUAUAAAGAGCUUCUUCUUCAAACAAAACAAAACCAUCUCAAAGUUCAAACAAAGUCUAUAUCCUAAAUAUAUAUAUAUAUAUAUAUAUUUUUUUAAUGCUAGUAGAGAGCUUCUUCUUCAAUUCUAUUAUAUCUCUGCUUUAGUUUCUUGGUGAUCUGCUUUUUUAUGGCUCUACUUACUUUUGUACCAACCCCAUCCAAUCCAAUUCAGCUUUGACCUGAACUCCACCCCACAAAUUUCUAGACUGCAUCAGGUCUAGUUAUGAUGUUCUUUUACAAAUCAACAACCCAAAUUUGCAAACCCCCAAAUUUCUAAAACGUACCCACUCUGAGAUCGUAUGGCCUAUGCCAUUAUCGAACAAUGGUUCCUACCACUUUGAGAUCGUACAACAUGGAUCUAGUUGGAAUAAAUCUGGAUCACCAAGAAGACCUGCGAUUUCAAGAUCUUGUCUGCUAGCCAUGGUGGUUUUCUUUCUUUCUUCUAUUUCUUCUUUGCUUUCUCUGUAAAUUCUCUGAGUUCUCUAUCAUUAUUAAUGGUGGCGAGGCGGCGGUAUUGAGUUUGGUUUGACUGGGGAUGUCGAGGUGGGGGGGCUUGUUGCGUCUUGGGUAUUUGGCCGUGAGGUGUUGCUGUGGAAGAGAGAAAGGUAUGGUGGUGGGGUAGAAAGAGGGGCGACGAGCAUGGCAUGAAUCAUGAUAAAAUGGGAGAAGAUAGAGAAGGAGGGUGGCGAUGGGAUGAAGGAGAGAGAAACUUUUAUUCUUUUAAUUAAUUAAGAGAGCUGAUUUUCCCACUCAUAUUUUAUUCACUUACACUUUCUUUAUUAGAAAUUGUAUGUUCCCACUCAUAUUGGAUCCACUUAUACUCCAUUUUUUGUUCUAGUAAAAACUAUUAAAAACAAAAGAAAGUGUAAGUGGACAAAAAGAAAGUGGGAAAAUCACCACCCUUAAGAGCAAGUGCAGUGCUAGGGCCUUGCCCUAGAAACAGGCCACCCCAGGCCCAAGUUCCACCUUCAGCGCUAAUCGACCAGCCCACAUAGCCCAACAGCUACAAGCCACGCGACAUCUCCUGAAGCCUCCAAUCAAAAAAUCUUGCUCAAUCCAACGGCUGUCUAAUUUUUAGCUAAAAAAUAUCUUUAAAAAUUUUAAAAAUUAUCAAAAAAUUAUGGAAAUUUUUUUCUAUAAAUACCUACCAAUAUUAUUCACUUUUCACAACAAAUCUUCAUAUAAAUUCAUCUCCUUCCAAUAUUUUUCACUUUCCGCACUAAAUUUUCUACUACAAAAUUUCAUUUGUGCAAAAAUAGAAAUGGCCUCUUCCAUCGAAGUAGGAGGGUCGUGGACAAACGUUUGAAGAGGUCAAAAUCUUGGCGAUGAGGCAACAAAAAAAAAAAAUAAUUUCCUUUUUAUUCAAUUUAAUGUCAUUUAUAUAUAUAUAUAUAUAUAUCUCUUGCAUUUCCAAUUUCAUUUUAAUAGAUUAUUCAAGGCAAAAUAAAAAAGAGGAAAACCAUUUACACAUGGUUCUUCAAGUGAACAAUAGCCAUAAUCAGUUCCAGUGGUGCGUUUCGUGUCGAAAAUAAUGACACUAUUACGUCCUCCGAAGGAAAACACUCCCUCCAUGUCGUGAUCCGGUGGAACUCACCAUCAAGUGCUUCUCUUAUUAUUUUAGUUCUAUUCUAUUGCUUUGUAUUUGAUAUUCAAUUUUGCAUCUCCUUAUGUCCACCUAAAAAAACACUUUCAAAAGUGUACAAAUCUGUUUUAUAUUAUGAUUUGUGUGGGACAAACAUUUCUAAUUCAUUAUGAUUGUCUUAUUAUAAUCACAAAAGUGGGCUGGAAUAAAAGGAAAGACAAUAAAGAAAAAUUAAUAUGACUUUGAUUGAUCAGAUGACAUAUCCACC